AAAUUGAAGAGUUUGAUCAUGGCUCAGAUUGAACGCUGGCGGCAGGCCUAACACAUGCAAGUCGAACGGUAACAGGAAGCAGCUUGCUGCUUCGCUGACAAGUGGCGGACGGGUGAGUAAUGUCUGGGAAACUGCCUGAUGGAGGGGGAUAACUACUGGAAACGGUGGCUAAUACCGCAUGACGUCGCAAGACCAAAGAGGGGGACCUUCGGGCCUCUUGCCAUCAGAUGUGCCCAGAU
This 239-nucleotide ribosomal RNA is filed under the name Salmonella enterica. RNAcentral's name for it is "partial 16S ribosomal RNA". It matches the Rfam family "Bacterial small subunit ribosomal RNA", at positions 1 to 236 of the family's 1533-position model. Lineage: Bacteria; Pseudomonadati; Pseudomonadota; Gammaproteobacteria; Enterobacterales; Enterobacteriaceae. RNAcentral also lists the same sequence under 2 other names. The record is from RNAcentral.